GCCUCUGAAGCUCAGUUGGUUAGAGCACUGCACAGGAAUCGCAGGACCGCACGUUCGAUUCCUGCCAGGGACC
RNAcentral lists this transfer RNA (73 nucleotides) under Paramuricea clavata. It matches the Rfam family "tRNA". Rfam says of the family: Transfer RNA (tRNA) molecules are approximately 80 nucleotides in length. Their secondary structure includes four short double-helical elements and three loops (D, anti-codon, and T loops). Further hydrogen bonds mediate the characteristic L-shaped molecular structure. tRNAs have two regions of fundamental functional importance: the anti-codon, which is responsible for specific mRNA codon recognition, and the 3' end, to which the tRNAs corresponding amino acid is attached (by aminoacyl-tRNA synthetases). tRNAs cope with the degeneracy of the genetic code in two manners: having more than one tRNA (with a specific anti-codon) for a particular amino acid; and 'wobble' base-pairing, i.e. permitting non-standard base-pairing at the 3rd anti-codon position. The record is from Rfam by way of RNAcentral. Lineage: Eukaryota; Metazoa; Cnidaria; Anthozoa; Malacalcyonacea; Plexauridae.